Molecule: long non-coding RNA, 243 nt
Filed under: Homo sapiens (human)
Lineage: Eukaryota; Metazoa; Chordata; Mammalia; Primates; Hominidae
Description: HSALNT0088113
Source: RNAcentral
AAAUCAAGGCAGUAAGAUGGAGAAGCCAGUCCUCUCUCCUCCACUGCAGGAUGUUCCAGAAGAAUUAAGAUCCAGAUGUGAUCGAGGAACUUCUCAUGACAGUGGAAAAACUCAGCCUGCCAAUAUUACUAAAGGGGAAAAAAAGGUUUUGAGGUAGAUAUCCUCCAGAUUUUGUUGGACAAGGGGGAAUUAAUAAUGUGGCAUAUGAGAUCAGUCCCAUAAUGAGGGAGAAAAGAUCAGAGG